UAAGGCCGUCAAGAUUGUACGACAUAUACGUGUAUACGCACGCACUAAUUUUAAGUCUUUAAGACGUGCCGGAUACGACUGUCAGUAUUAUAAUCUGUGUUAUUAGUGGUUAUAACGUGGAGUAAGUGAAAAGUUUGGGCCUUUGAAAUUACCGAUUCUUUGACGUAAAUGAAUACAGUAGCGAGACGCAUUCGCACAGUGGCGUCAUGGCGGCCAUUUUUCUGGCCAGGAAAUGACGUCAUCAUUUCUAAUGACGCGGACGACACAAGCCUUACGUCCGGUUUUGUUGACUCGAGAUCCGAUGAGACUACGGAGGGCAGCGAGGCGCCGUCGACGCUGGACCGCGCUUCCGGUAUGGGAACAUCCUUCCGGCGCCAACAGCCCGAGUUUGUCAUUCUACACUACAG
Long non-coding RNA from Dreissena polymorpha, 407 nucleotides. RefSeq lists it as uncharacterized. The transcript has 3 exons. The record is from RefSeq and is a predicted model, not a curated record. NCBI's taxonomy places the organism in Eukaryota, Metazoa, Mollusca, Bivalvia, Myida, Dreissenidae.